RNAcentral lists this transfer RNA (66 nucleotides) under Pseudopotamorites peniculus. Its description in RNAcentral is "tRNA-Arg". It matches the Rfam family "tRNA". From Rfam's summary of the family: Transfer RNA (tRNA) molecules are approximately 80 nucleotides in length. The record is from RNAcentral. Lineage: Eukaryota; Metazoa; Arthropoda; Insecta; Trichoptera; Limnephilidae.
AAAUAGGAAGCUGUGAUAGCACCUAAUUUCGACUUAGUCUGUGGGGGUCGAAUCCCCCCCUAUUUA